Molecule: transfer RNA, 94 nt
Filed under: Methylibium petroleiphilum PM1
Lineage: Bacteria; Pseudomonadati; Pseudomonadota; Betaproteobacteria; Burkholderiales; Sphaerotilaceae
Description: tRNA-Ser
Source: RNAcentral
CGAGGGCACGAGCCGCCACUCGCCGAUGACCGGGGGCACCGCCAGUUCGAGUUGCGGCAGCGGACCCGCGCCCGCCGCGCCCGGCAGCGCGCGA